This 459-nucleotide ribosomal RNA is filed under the name uncultured bacterium. Its description in RNAcentral is "partial 16S ribosomal RNA". It matches the Rfam family "Bacterial small subunit ribosomal RNA", at positions 338 to 795 of the family's 1533-position model. The record is from RNAcentral.
CCUACGGGUGGCAGCAGUGAGGAAUAUUGGUCAAUGGGCACGAGCCUGAACCAGCCAAGUCGCGUGAGGGAAGACGGUCCUAUGGAUUGUAAACCUCUUUUGUCGGGGAGCAAAAGACGCCACGUGUGGCGUUCCGAGAGUACCCGAAGAAAAAGCAUCGGCUAACUCCGUGCCAGCAGCCGCGGUAAUACGGAGGAUGCGAGGGUUAUCCGGAUUUAUUGGGUUUAAGGGGUGCGCAGGCGGAAGAUCAAGUCAGCGGUAAAAUUGAGAGGCUCAACCUCUUCGAGCCGUUGAAACUGGUGUUCUUGAGUGAGCGAGAAGUAUGCGGAAUGCGUGGUGUAGCGGUGAAAUGCAUAGAUAUCACGCAGAACUCCGAUUGUGAAGGCAGCAUACCGGCGCUCAACUGACGCUCAUGCACGAAAGCGUGGGUAUCGAACAGGAUUAGAUACCCCUGUAGUC